GCGCCCGUAGCUCAGUGGAUAGAGCAACUGCCUUCUAAGCAGUGGGUCGCUGGUUCGAGUCCAGUCGGGCGUGCCA
This 76-nucleotide transfer RNA is filed under the name Armatimonadota bacterium. RNAcentral's name for it is "Armatimonadetes bacterium (activated sludge metagenome) tRNA-Arg". It matches the Rfam family "tRNA". From Rfam's summary of the family: Transfer RNA (tRNA) molecules are approximately 80 nucleotides in length. Their secondary structure includes four short double-helical elements and three loops (D, anti-codon, and T loops). Lineage: Bacteria; Bacillati; Armatimonadota. The record is from RNAcentral.